Schizosaccharomyces pombe (fission yeast) is the source of this 606-nucleotide non-coding RNA. The record is from the annotation of a GenBank genome assembly. NCBI's taxonomy places the organism in Eukaryota, Fungi, Ascomycota, Schizosaccharomycetes, Schizosaccharomycetales, Schizosaccharomycetaceae.
AAGGUUCGUUGUAAGGAUUCUUAAUAUAUGUAUUUUUUGUAAAUUGUUAGUCACUAUCGUAUUCUUCCUCGCUACUGCUGCUUUCCUCAGAAUCGUUUUGAUUUAACGAUUCAUCUGCAAACUCUUUAGGCCUUUAAACUAGUUAGCACAAUCAUCUAAUGUUAUUUCAAGAGAAUUUCUUACCAAUAAAUUUGUUUUUUCCAAUUUUUUAAAGGGCUUUGUACCACGUACAAUAUAGUACCGUCAAUUUUAUUGUCCUUCUCUAAAAACUCAGAUUUAUCAACUAUUACAAACCCAUUUCUCCUAACCCAUAUUUUAUUACGAUACUUUGGAGGCAUCUCAACAAGUAAUUCCUGUCCAUUGUUUUCUACUACCAUAAAAAGCGCAGAUCCUUUAAGUUGCACAACUUUGGCGACGACUUGAUCUUUUUCCAACCUAGCUGGUGGAUCAAACGAAAUUUGACCGCCAUAUUUUUUUGACAUAUUAGUAUUUCUCUAAAGAGCUCGUAUAUAUGUGAUAACCAAGCAAAUCGUAGAGAAUUGGGUUUAUGGUGGUUAGGAAGCUUCGACAAGUGGAUUUACAAGAUGAUAUGCAUUUCAUAAAUGU